Molecule: long non-coding RNA, 16602 nt
Filed under: Triticum aestivum (bread wheat)
Lineage: Eukaryota; Viridiplantae; Streptophyta; Magnoliopsida; Poales; Poaceae
Description: long non-coding RNA (TAES_LNC028082)
Source: RNAcentral
CACGGUACAUGACAAUCCUCCCACGAACCCUCAACAGGGUGCCCAGGCGUACCACCUCCGACAUUUUCGAUGCCAUCUCUCCAGUUGGAUCAGAAUCUGAUGAACUGUUUGCAUUCAGGUACUGGUGGUUCAGCCACAAGACACAUGGCACACAGCCAGUGCCAUCAUCAACCAGGAAGCGCAGAAACUUCUCCAUGUGGUCACGUGAAACAACAACCCCGACAACUUCGGCACGAGCAACCGUACGGCCACAGCGAACAAAGGAAGGCGGCGAUGUAUGUCGGGGAGUUAGCGUGAGAAGGCCGGUAGCCAGAAGUUUGAUGUGCACAAGAUGAAGGGAGUCCAUGAUGAGCCUGCAUACAACCAAUGACAUGAGGCAAUGAAGUUCAGAGAAGAGAUCUAACUAGGGCUUCACAUUUUUAUCACACAUGAUGAAAAUUUAAGCAAAAAGCUAUGUAAAUUAUUGGCGGAGCCAGGAUUCAAGCAGGCCGGGCUAAAAGUUUAACGCUUAUAACAAACCAGAAAAUUAUCCCAAUAGCUCAAUUGCACAGUUAUCGAGAAUUAGAAAUCGAGAUUUAACGAUCCAACAAAAUAUAUAAUCAUGACCAGAAUUACAAGUAAUAGUACAAGACAACAUUUUCUGGAUUGAGUUGAACACGAGGUUUCAGAUUCUGUACUGUUAAUUGGUUGGUUUCAUAUUCUGCAGCAAACCAUGGCGAUGCUCCUGUCUCCAAUGCGCGGGCCGCCGCAUCGCGAGAAGCAGAUGGGCGCGGGGAGAAAACCCCCACGCACAUUUUCAAGGAAACCACACACUGGCAAAACCACACAUGGCGACUCGAAUUCAUUGAAGUUCAGAACAGGGAUACAUAUUGCUCUGCUUGUAGUAGUUACAGAACCAGACGUGUACUGGAUCCUGCAUCUCUGCACUUGUAGCAGCUGCAGACUAAUCUAACAGUACAACAUUGAAUCAGUGCAUACACUUAACAUCUCACCGACCUAAUCUAACAGUACAAGACUGAAUCAAUGCAUAUCCUUCAAUUUCUACGAUUCGAAUGAAUAACAUUCGCGGUAGGGUUCAGAGCUUUUUUUUUUUUUGAGACAAGUAGGGUUCAGAGCUGAAGGGCUGGCGCUGCGCUGGGCGUACUGGGCUGGCUCCUGGCGCAUCAGCAACGGCCGAGUGUCUGGGCCUGUUGAAGGCUUCAGCCCAGGCCCAGGUUUGGCCCAGACCGUUUAGGCCCAGUUCAAUCCACGAGACGAGAGGGCAAAACCUACCUCCCCUCCCCUUCCCCCCUAAACGCCGCCGUCACGCACUGCCACAAGCAGUCCACCACUCACCUCUCUUGCUUGCCGCCGGCGACCAUGGCGGACGCCGCGAGAGGAGCAACGGCGCCGCCUCCCGGCGGCAGCCUCCCAGACGAGAUCACCAUCUGGGAGAUCCUCGUCCGUCUGCCCCCCAAAUCGCUCCUCCGCUGCCGCGCCGUCUGCCGCGCAUGGCGCAGCGCCACCUCCACCCGCCAAUUCCUCCUCGCCCACCACGCCCUCCAGCCCGCCCUCCCCCUCCUCUACGGCUACAACUUCGUCGGCGACGAGGUCGAGUCCCUCGACAUCAUCCCCUUCCACCAGCGGGCAGGCGCCGACCAGCCCCAGCUCCAGCUCCACCCCGUCGCGCGGCUUGAGCAAGACUCCGACUUCCACCAUCUGGAGGCCUGCUGCGACGGCCUCCUGGUCCUCUCCUUCCGCCACACCAGCGUCCGUGACUGGCGCUUCGCCGUCUGCAACCCCUCUACUCGUCAGUACGCGCCCCUCCCGUUGCCUUAUGGCUGUAACAUCGAGUACUCGCUCCUCGGGAUGUACCGGCACAUCCCCACCGGCGACUACCGACUGUUGAUGUACCGGGACUCAGUAUUGAUGCCUCAUGAACUGGUACCUGACCCCCCUGAAGACGGCUCCUACAUCUUCACGUUAGGCUCGGGCCAGCCACCGAGGUACAUAGGGUUCCCCGAUGCGCAGGUGCUGACAUACACCUUUGGAUCUCUCCUGUUUCGUGGCUGCCUGCAUUGGCACCCACCAGGCAGCACGAUAACGGUGUUCGACACCACUACUGAGUUGUUCUGGCAGAUGCGUGCUCCGGUUGUUACUGGCCAUGCUAAGUUGUUUCAGAUGGAUGGAAUGCUUGGCAUGCCCGGCUUUAAUGAUGCUGCGACAGCCAUUGAUAUCUGGGUGGCGCAGGACUAUGAGAGGGAGGUCUGGGCCUGCAAAUACCGGGUAGACUUCUCAUUUGCAGACCUCACUCUGCAGUUUGGCAAGUUGGACGAAAGUUCUUGGGUGGUGGCUGUGCCUUGGGAUGGUGACGUGCUCCUACUGAUCAAUUUUGGUGAGCGGCUACUUCAGGUUGACAUUGAGGGCAAGUUGGUCGCUACUUCCCAUCGCAGAGGCCUCGGUCCUGCAAAUCUUUGGCUCAAGCAAACUCUUGUUCAACAUACCUUCUUUCCAACACUCGAGGGUUAUGUUGCCAACUCUGCACCUUUCAUCUGACGGAUGUUAUAUCAAGUGGUGAUUCUAGCCCAACUUUCAGUAUCCUCAUGAGCUGCAGUGUGUAUGAAUUCGGUCCACUAUGAGCCAGCUAGUUUCAUUUUGAUGCAUAGACAAGUUAUGAUCAACAAGCUUGACUGUUUCAUGGUUAUGUUUAUAUUUCUUUGAAUAUUCUUCUGGGCUGAAGUGGCUACUGUGAGUCUUGAUGCUAAAUUGCAAGUCUUUCUUAAAGGUCAUCCAGUGGUUUCUGUUGUAAUUCCUUUUUUUCUGUUGUAUUGUUUGGAAUUGUGUCUCACUUAGCUGCUAAGCAUUUUAUGGAAUUAAUAGUGCAUAUGAAGUUCGACUCUGAAGAAAUAAUGCUUCUACUGACAAGCAGAAGUUUGUACUGUGUCUAGGGAUGGAUGCUUGGGUUUUCAUUAAUGAAAAUCGGAAGGGGUGAAGCCCUUCUUUUAUUCAAAAAAAAGCUAACAAGCAGAAGAAAAGAUUGACAUGGUCAGGUCCCAAAUUAUGUUCGUGUUGAGGCACUGGAACUUCCAGCCAUGUUCAUUUUUCUCUCGAGGCGACGAGAUGUCAUAUUGAGUAUCAUUGGCCGAAAGCAGAUUGCCCCAAGCAGGAUCACACCAUGAUUUGUGUGGCAAUAAAAUUGUAGAAAUAAGUUAAAAAAACACACUCUGGUCAUUUGUUACUGGAUGUAAUUGCUCAGCUCCUCACAUCACUUGUAGGCUACCCACAGUCAGUUUUCUGUUGCAUGCAUGUGUGAGAUAAAUGUACAUGUUGGCGAAAAACUAUUUCGAUUGUGUGGUUACAGCUUACACUAUCGAUGCAAUAUAUAUGUUUGACAUCCAGAUUGAUGUAUUCCAGUAUGUUUGAUCGAUCUGAAACAUGCAAAAAGUCUUUUCAGCUUAAACUGUAUUAUCUGCUUUUUGUGUCGAGCCAAUACGACAUCUGAGUACAUGAGCAAGAGCUGAAGUCCUCCUUUGGCUAAAUUAUUGUGUUGCUUUGAGGGCUGUUUAGACUGUAAAAAUAUCUGGUUAGUCAGAGCUGUAGUCCAAGGCUUGUAUUUCUGUUUUUAAAAGUGUGCCUGGUGAUUGGUACAGCGAGUGUGGUAGCGUUAGUCUGGACGGGGUCUAUUGUCGAUCAAUAAGGCUCAUGGCCUGCCUCCUCUCCUAGAGCGGCAAUAAAAAAGAGAGUUCUGGAGCCGUUCCCUGUGAGAUUUGUAAAACUUAAUGUCGAUGCAUUUUUUGAUUAUGAUCAGCUUAGGGGCACUGUUGGGGCGGUCCUCACGAAUGAUAAAGGUAAAUUCAUUGCAGGGGGCAGGGGGAAUGGGAAUAUAGAAUCUUAGAUUCGGGUUGUCUCUUGCGCAAAGGAUGGGAUGCAAUCAUCUUGUCAUUAAUUCUGACAGUAUGGAGGUUAUCGAAACUAUGAAGAGCAGAAGAUGUUCUACGGGAGCGGCGGCAUCGGUUUUUGACAGAUGUUAUCAUUUGGCGUGCGAUUUUACUAUUUGUAGGUUCAAACAUUGUAAUAGAAAAGCAAAUAAGGUAGCUCACUGACUAGGGUGGCUAGAUUUUCAUCCACUUUUGAUUGGUUUGAGGAACCUAAUGAAAUUGUAAUCCUAAUCAUUGCCGAUGUAUCUAUUAUAUCUAUUGAAUAAAGUUUGUUGGGUUUUUGAUUCAACAAAAAUAAGGCUCAUGGCUUACAUCAAUGGUUCACAUUGCACAUAGUGAGCGCGUUGAUCUACCAUCUCUUCUUCGUGGGAGAGUGGGCGUCAUAAUAUGUGUUAGAAGGGGUACGCGUCUGUGUGGCCCUUAUAAAAUUAUGAAAUUAAACUUUUUGUUGAAUGUUCUAGUUAUGAAUUCAGAUGUGUUUCACUUUGUAUUAUCCUUGCUACAACUUCGUUUUGAAUUCAAUUGAAGCCAGUUAGUGUUAUGUUAAUGAAAAAAAACUUAGUGCUAGCUGCAUGCGGCUGGAUAAGAAGGGCCUGAAGUCUCUCUGAGUCCCUUCUGAAUCAAGACUGGUUUCAGAUCAACUUUUUCGCCUCAGAGAUAAGAGCAUUCCUAGCAGACCCCUUAAAAGCCAGCCCUUAGAAACCCUUUAAACCCUUUUUAGGUGCGAAACUAGGCCGAAAAGAACAGACACCGUAUCACCAACUAUAUCUGGAACGAUACAUCAAGCAAUCGNNNNNNNNNNNNNNNNNNNNNNNNNNNNNNNNNNNNNNNNNNNNNNNNNNNNNNNNNNNNNNNNNNNNNNNNNNNNNNNNNNNNNNNNNNNNNNNNNNNNNNNNNNNNNNNNNNNNNNNNNNNNNNNNNNNNNNNNNNNNNNNNNNNNNNNNNNNNNNNNNNNNNNNNNNNNNNNNNNNNNNNNNNNNNNNNNNNNNNNNNNNNNNNNNNNNNNNNNNNNNNNNNNNNNNNNNNNNNNNNNNNNNNNNNNNNNNNNNNNNNNNNNNNNNNNNNNNNNNNNNNNNNNNNNNNNNNNNNNNNNNNNNNNNNNNNNNNNNNNNNCCCUAGCCUAGUCGCGCUCCAUCCCGGCCGCCCCCGCCCCCGUCGUGCUUCGCCCCACCCCGGCUACGCCCGCCGCCGCCGCGCUCUACCCCGGCCAUGCCCGCCCCUGUCACACCUCCCCCGCCCCGGCCACGCCUCUUUCGCCCUUCUCCGCCGCCGCCCCGCUUUGAUUCGGGCCGCCGGCAGCCUACUCCACCCCGCCCGUGGCCGACCUCGCCAUGGCAGUGAAGGUCGAGCCGGCGAGAGUUUGGACUGGCAGCGACAAAUUCUGGCGUGCGGCGACCUUUUCUAAUGUGCGGCGAUGGAUUCCGGCGAGUUUCAGGUUGAUUCUAGCCAGUUCUGCGGCGGCGCAUCUGCUCUGACGAGGUUUGAUCGUUUACGGGUUGAAUGUAUACUACCUUCCAACCUAUACAUAUAAGGUUCUCGCGGAUGGAUUCUCCAUGCCCCUUAAAAUUUUAAGGGUCGAUCGAACUUUACGGGAUCAACUAGGGACCGUUUUUUCGACCGAAACUGUAAAUUCCAGAUUUUUUACGGGUUUGACCGCUUUUAAGGGGUCUGCUAGAGAUGCUCUAAGAUUGCUCAAUCCCAUCAUUGUUGUCUCGGAAUUAGGAUUUGUUUACCCAGUCCCUGAGAUUGUCGCCUACCAGGAAUAUAUUGCAAGAUUUGGUUUGAUGCUUAUGCCCAAAAGAGCACGCAACCAGGACAAGAGGGUGCUUGGAUCCAAGGGACUUAUUUUAGUCUGAGUAAAAAUAGUCUCUUUAAGAGGCUAAAGUUCCAAGCACCCCUGACUAAAGAGGGGCUAAAACUAGUCUUGAGACUAAAUUUUUUUAGUCAGGGGUACCCCUACUAAAAUGUAGAUUAGCCCUUUCUCUCCUCAUUUAACUCCUCUCCUUUAACACAAGGGAGUUCUGGAUUGGAGGGUUUGGAGGAUAAUAAAUGCUCGUUAACUUGAUUUUAGUCUCUUUAGUAUUUGGAUACAAGUAUGGGUGAGGCUAGCAAAUUUUAGUCCCACUACUUUUAGUCAUGGGACUAAAACGUAUCCAAGCACCCUCUAAAUAUUUGUGAUGGAAAAUAUGAAAUAAUGACAUGCUCCGCAGAUCAGGCGAUAGUGUGAGUGGCCCUAUUACAGAUCACGCGAUAGUGUGAGCCGCACUAUUAAUGACAUGAAUAAAGGAAACUGAAACAAACUUCAAUGCUAAGGGCAUCUCCAGCCGCGCCCCCAACAGGCCCCCCCAGGCCACUUUUUCGGCGCCGGCGCCGAAAAAACGGCCCAGUCGCGCCCCCAGGACGCCGAAAAUCGCCGGUUCGGACCUUUUUUCCGCCCGGCGGUCACAGGCCGAACCCGGCGCGCUGGGGAGCCGUUGGGGGCUCCGGCGCUAGGGAAAAGCACGUCUGGCCCACACCGACAGGGGAAAAGUCAAGGUUUUCUUCCCCCGACUCGCCUCGCACCCCCGCACCCUCGGCCACCACUAGCUAUAUACCGGCGACGGGCGCCGGCCUACUCCGCUAGAUAGCCAUUCCCCGCCGGAAAAUAGCAGCGCUUCGCCGCGGCAGCCCCUCCCGCAGCAGCUGGGCGUUUCCGGCCGCCGUUUCCGACUGCGGAGGCGCGGUUUAACGGCGGGUACACGCCCACCGAGCGCAAGGUGUUCGGCGUUUUGACUGUGCCGGUGAUGGACUCAGAUGAGGAGGAAGAGCUCGCCACGCUGCUGGAGGAGGAAGCCGCGGCCGACGUCCAGGAAGAAGAGCAUCUGAUGGUGCUCGCCGCCCUCGCCCAGCUGCUGGCGAGCAAUGAAAAGCCGCGUCGAGGUGGCUCGGCGCCGGGGCGGGUGAAAGCAAAGAACCGGCAUCGUCUGCACGGCUACUGCAUGCUCUACUCCGACUACUUCGCCGAUGCUCCACUUCAUGGCGGGAGAACAUUUCGGCGCCGUUAUCGGAUGAGCCGAAAGCUCUUCCUCAGGAUUGUGAAUUCCAUCCGGGAGUUCGACAACUACUUCAAGUGCAAGAUGGAUUGCACUGGCGCUCUUGGAUUCACCUCCAUCCAGAAGUGCACGACACCGAUGAGGAUGCUUGCAUAUGGAGCUCCCAGUGAUUCACUCGACGACUAUGGGCGCAUGGCCGAGUCCACCAGCAUAGAGUGUUUCUACAAGUUCUGUCGGGCGGUGGUGGCAGUGCUUGGGCCACAAUACUUGAGAACACCCAAUGCGGAAGACACUGCUCGGAUCCUAGCCCAGAAUGCAGCAAGAGGAUUUCCUGGGAUGCUUGGAAGCAUCGACUGCAUGCAUUGGAAAUGGAAGAACUGCCCAUUUGGUUGGCAGGGGAUGUACAAAGGCGCCAAAGGCGGUUGCAGUGUGGUGCUUGAGGCGGUAGCCACACAGGAUCUCUGGAUUUGGCACUCCUUCUUUGGUAUGCCAGGAACUCACAAUGCCAUCAACGGGUUGAGAACGUAUCCUGUGCAACGACGAGACUGGUGUAACGAGUGCUCCGAGAGAUUCUGCGCCACUGGAUGGAAAACUGAUGGCACAGAUUUAUCACGCGAAGGGGUGCUGGUACGUUUUACAUCUUAGGCCUUGCAGGAUCAUUGAAGUCUGAAUAGUCCUCAACACACCUCUCGUCUCUUUCCUUUCUGUUCUACUCUCUCUGUAGUCGCGUUCUCGUCUGUGCCAUGCCGUCAGCUGCGACCUAGGCCACUCUACAUCAUCCCUCCUGUGUCCUGUACCUGGUCCAGCACCGUUCAAUCCCCAGCGCCUCUCCUCUCCCCUGAAACGGCCGCGCCGCCGGAGAGCGCGUAAAUAUAGCGCCACCGUGCUGUAACUCCGGGGACGACAAUCGCACCGCCAAAAAGGAACCGGCUAUCUUCUGCACCUCAAGGAUCUAGUGUAUGCCCAAACCACUUCUUUUGUCUGUACCCUUUGCAACUCCACUAAAGUAGUAUGGUUGCCAUCUUUCAUUCCAUAGUAGAUGAACAUCAUUUACAUAAGUCACAGGCUCAAAACCGAGAAUGUUUAUGACCUGCUUGGAUCCCCUCAAAGGAAGCACCUCAAGUUGGGACUGAUCGACUCAUUUUUCAGGUGAAUAGAAAGAGUGGACAGGAGUUACGUAAAUCUGCAGUUGUUGUUUUCUCUUUCUUUUGCAAGGGACGCUUUAACUAUUAUUGUGAAUCGAGGAAUCUGCAGUAUGGUUGUUCUGUGGAAAAGAAUGACAUUUCCCAGAUUUGAUUAUUUAUAUGACAGAAUUAAGAGACGCUUUUGUAUGAGAGUAUUUACAAUUCAUAUGCAGUGUCAUACUCUCUGGAGAAGUUGCACCAAGGCUUCAAGAUGUAAUGAAGUAGUUUCAUUGAGGAUACAAUUGUCACGUAGAAGUUUACUAAAAUUAGGAUAUGAUAGUAAAAGCUCCAGAAAAUUUGACAUGGCCACUGUCGUAUACACAUUUGGAAACAGUGUGUACAUAUAUGUAGAAUAAAACCACAAUUGCUCAAACAGUGUAAUUUCUCGCAUGCGAGCACAGGCGCAAGCAUCAGACUUAGUUCAGAAACAGUUGGAAAAUAAAUAGUGAUAACCACAGGUUGGCCAAAGUACAAGCAGAAUCAUCAGCUAAAAUAAAUGUCGUCCAACAGUCACGCUUGAAAGAUCGAGCAUUAGCGCAGAUGGGAAAUCACAACAUGGUUCCUUCUGGAUGACACAGGGCCUCAAACUCGUUUGCACAUCCUGUUAAGAAUCAUCUACUCCAAUCAAUAUCUACAAUUACAGUUCACACGGUACUACAAGUACAUGUACCAGGAAUUAGCAAGAUGACUCCAGGACAUGUACGCUAGAUCAAUAUUGUUGAUUCUAAAAGCGUUGUUAGAACAUGGAUUGCAACAAGAAAAAAAAAGGCAUGAAUAAGAUGAACUAGUAAUGCUAUGAGAAAAUUCAAUUGGAUAUCAAAGUGCAGUUUCAUUAAGAUCAACAAAGUGAACCAGAAGAAAACACAGCAGAUAUAAUCUAUCUCCAGGCACGUCCGCUAACUCCCUGUUAACCAUUCUUUCACAUGCAAGUCAUAACAUUCAUGCACAAAACUUACUUUAAAGCUUCAAGGACAUAUAGAUACUCUUUACAAAUCAAGGAUGGGAACAACAAGCACAUCUCUUUUCCUGAUUACUAGUCUAAUAAAAGCUGCAAUUGGGGGAAAUUGACAAAAGGAAAGAAACAUAGUGCAUGGAUAAUCGAAUAGUAGUCAUACCCCCAGAAGGAUGAAGCCAAGUGUUGAGAUGAUUAGAUGAUUCUGCAUCAUAACAUAGUAUUCAAGCCUGAAUUUCAGAGAAUUUCAUAAGGAGCAUAGUCCUGCAUGCAAAAGUAAAAAAGAUCAUCAAUAGAAUUUCAGAGACAAAAAGUACCAACUACCAAGGGAGUACUCGUAAGGAAUAAUACAUUAAUACUUAAUGGGAUUGGAUUUGUAAAUGUUGGAUUUAAGCUGGGAAAUGAUGGCAUAGGCUAGAAUUAACCAAAGCUAAAAACAAGUUGCAGUUGAUUCGUGCAGGCAUAAACAGAAGGGAAAAUGAUGUAAAGUAUAGAGGUGCGGCAAAUAAAACAAAUGACACAGCUCGAUCACAUAAAAAAUAGUUCUAGUAAGUCUAGUAUGUAUGAACUAUGAAGCAGAUCUUAAAACUCAUUAAACAAUUUUUCUUCUGGGGAAUUAACUGCAGUAGAACAAAGCAAAGCUUGCAGCAGUGAAAGAUAUGUUCAGCAAAUUUGAUUUGGCUAUUCUGCUGAUGUUUCACUUGUAGAAGUACCAUAUUACCAGAGCAUAGCUCUGGAAGAUUCGGUCUUAUUUUCCUGUUGGCAGGGUCUGCUAUUUCUUUUAUCUAAUGAUGAAGCAAUCGCCCCAUUCUGCAAGAAACACACCAAUGUCAUGGUUAGUGCAGAGUUGUGGGCGCGGACGAAAGAAAGGAAUGAGUGUGCACAUAAUUUUCGCACACAAGAACCAGAGGCAAAUGUGAUCGAAAAAUUUCACGAGCACGCCAAUGAAUAUUCACAUAAAAACGUGUGGUAAUAGGAACAAUAAGAUCCAACUAGUUUUGAGGAACUGAUGGCCCUAAACUGACAACAAAUUUGAGCAACCAGCAAGCAGUAGCACACCUAUCUGUGUUCCGCCUGCUACCACUGAGCUCGAGCCGACGACUGUGAUUUCUUCAUAUAAAAGUACUAACUAUCAUGUGGAAACGUUUAUAAAAAUGAAUUGGGGAAAAGUACGAUUAGAUUGGAAGAACGGUUAUACUCAUGGAUAAGGGAAGAAGAGAACAUACCCUUCAUAGUUGAAUCGCGGAAGACCGUCAACUCCUGUACCUCUAUAGAAUCGACGCCCCGGACGACGACAUCGGACAUAGACGAGCCAUCGCUGCCAAAUAAAUCAACGCGCACAGUCGAUUCAGAGGAACACAGGGCGAGAUUAAGCUUCUAUGCCGUAGAUCCUUACCCAGGUACAUGAGAGGGAGGAGAGAGAGAGAGAGAGAGAGAUAUGACACCGGGCACAUUUUUCCAACCCUAGCUCCCACCUGCUCCCAUGGAUUACGGCGGCACGGGAGAGAAGAGAAGGCAGAGGAAGGGAAACGAUGAGAGAGAGGACGAGUACAGAAUUCUGAGCCACUUUAAGGUUAAAUCUGCAAAAGUACCAGCAGCUCCCCUUGCAGAUGCAUACUGUCCCUUGGUUCCGCAUCCAGUGGCGCAGAAUCUCUCGGAGCACUCGUUACACCAGUCUCGUCGUUGCACAGGAUACGUUCUCGUGCUGCAGUGCUCUUCUGUUUUUGCCAAGCUCGUUGAGGGCCAUUCUCCUCCGGUGAACUUCGAGAUCAAUGGGCACCAAUACAACAAGGGGUACUAUCUAGCUGACGGCAUCUAUCCAAGAUGGUCGACAUUUGUGAAGACGAUCUCAAACCCUGUGGCAGGAGGCAAGAACGCCUGGUUUGCGAAGGUUCAGGAGGCUUGCAGGAAGGAUGUUGAGCGGGCAUUUGGUGUGCUCCAAUCUCGAUUCGUUGUUGUUCGGUACCCCGCUCAGACCUGGUCGAAAGAUCAAAUGUGGGAGAUCAUGACUUGCUGUGUCAUCUUGCACAACAUGAUCAUCGAGAGCGAGCAAGAAGACCCAGUGUUUGACACUGAACCAUACUACAGGCAGGGUCCUCUAGCCGAAGUUGAUCGCCAGCUACCGGCAACUUGGACUGCCUAUCUCAGUAUGCGUCAGGAGAUCCGAGACCCACAGGUGCAUCAUCAACUGCAGAAAGAUCUGAUUGAGCACCUAUGGAGGCUCAAGGGGGACGUCGCGUGAUGAAAUACGAGUUUUUAUUUGUUGAACUAUAUAAUUUGUAUUGAACUAUUUGUUGUUGUAGUAUUUUGUUGAAGUAUUUGAUUUUUCUGUGAUGAAAUAUGUGUGUGUUGAUAAUUGAACGCCGAAACCACGCCGAAUAUGGGCCUAUUCUCGCCCAUAUUGGCCGUUUAUUCGCCGAAAAUGGGCUGCAAAGUGGGCCAAUUUCAGCGCCUGGGGGCGGGCUGGGGGCGACGACUGGGCGCAAAACCGCCCCCAGCGCCGAGUGUGUCGCCGGCUCGCCCCCAGGCGGCGCUUUUAGACGCCCCCUGGGGGGCCAACGGCUGGAGAUGCCCUAACAACUUGAUAUCAUGGAUAGCAUCAAGAAUAACGCCAGGAAGAGUAAUAGGUUAAAGCAUAUCAGGUGGCCACAACAUCAGCACUCAGCAACACAUCAAUCUUUCUUCUGUAUCUCUAAUAAGUGAAAAUCUUUGUUACUUCUGUCUUUUGACCAUAAAAUAAAUUUCUGUACUUGUCAUGACGUACAGCAUGGUUUAUUAAAAAAAAGUAGAAACUGUUAUACUCCAGAAUCCAUACUAGAGUGGAAAAUACAGAUACAACAAAAUUUUCUGUAAGGCAUGCCAUGCCACAUCAAAAGAGAACUACAGUGCGUGUGAUUCCGGUGGCAGCUGAAUCCUUUAGCAGAUUGCUGGGACAACUGAGAAACAGUGCACGGGCAAAACUCAAAAACUUCGAGAGCCUACUGCCCCUCUAUUACUGUAAGAGUCUCCGUAUCCACAGAGUUCUGACCGUAUUCUGCUCUCUUUGCUACCUUAUUCCUCUGAGAAAAAUAUAGUGGCUUAUCAGGCGUUGCAAGUGGUGUGCUUCUACUCUCCAAGGUUGAUACAACAGUUGACAUGAGUGGUCUGGCAUCCGGGUCAUCUUGAACACACAAGAGCCCAACAUGGAUGCAACACAAAACUUCUUCAUUCGAGCAGCUCUCUGAAACAGAUGGAUCCACCAGAUCUUUUGCUAGCCCUUCCCUCCAUAGACUCCAUGUCUGAGCAAAUAAAAUCAAAAUUUCAAGUCGUGUGGUCAAGGCAUUAUGGAGACUGAAAAAUGAUAAAUCAUAAUCUUACAUAUAUUAUAAGGUUGGGGAACUCCUUGAUGUUCUGCGUUGAGCUUAUCCUUAGACCACUUACAGUUUCCAUGAGCAAUACCCCGAAGCUAUAGACAUCAGACUUAACAGAAAAGAGGCCUUCCAUUGCAUAUUCCGUUGACAUAUAACCGCUGGAUAAAUCAUAUCAUCAGCAAGACUUGCAUGUUUCGAGUUGAGUUUAACUAUGUAUGACUUUAAUGAAUAACUACACGCAAGAUAGUAAUCCUACUUACUAUGUUCCGACAACUCGGUUAGUGUUUGCUUGUUGCUCAUCUCCGCCAAAGAUUCUUGCCAUUCCAAAAUCAAAUAUCUUGGGAUUCAUGUCUCCAUCUAGCAAAAUGUUGCUUGUUUUGAGUUCCCUAUGGAUUAUCAUCAGUCUUGAAUCUUGAUGGAGAUAGAGUAGCCCUCUAGCCACUCCUUUUAUUAUAUUGAAUCGUGUCGGCCAAUGAAGCAUUGGCUUCUUUUCAGAAUCUGCAAUAAUAGUAUGGGAUUGGGAUUAUGAUUUCAGAUGUGGCAUCAAAUGAUUUUUGACUGAUUAAUUUGUGGUCAGAACAUACUGAAAAGGAAGGUGUCCAGGCUUUUGUUUGGUAGAUACUCAUAAAUAAGUAGCUUUUCAUCACCCUGCACACAAUAACAGAGAAGCCUUACAAGGUUUUUGUGUUGCAGUUUAGCAAUCACAACUACUUCAUUCCUGAAUUCUAUUACCCCCUGCCUAGCACCUCUACUCAGCCUGUUAACGGCAACUUCUUUGUUGCCACGUAAGAGCCCCUGCAUUAUAGCAACGGGGAGAAAAUUAAGGUUACAAAAUAGUAUGGUUCAGUUUUGAAUCACAGCAAAAAGUGGCAAAAUUUUCAUAUGUCGAUGCAAUUAGGGGCACACUGUAGAGUCUAUAUUUACCUUGUAAACUUGCCAAAGCCACCUUCUCCGAGUAAAUUGUACAUAGAGAAGUUGUUUGUUGCAUCGACUAUUUCCUCAAAGCUAAUAAAUGGAAGUUCAUGAGUUUCCUCUCCAAGUCCAUCACUAACGCGCAAAUCCCCCAUCAUCGGUCUCUUCAGUCUUUCUUUUUUGUCAUGUUUGCCUAAGAGAAAUAUCAUCUUUGUCAUCCUAAAAAGGCCACAAUAUGUGUCCUCCAAAUUGCUUCAAGAAUUAAAUCAAUGGACUACCUUUAAACUUGUGGAACCAUACAAGGCAUGCCAAUAGAAGUAUCAGCAACACACUUGCUGACAUUGCUGGUAUAACUUUUAUUACGAUGCUCUUUCGCCCUUUGCCUAAAAAGGAACGAUGCUACGAAGUUUAAUUUAUUGCAAAACUUUACUUUAAUAGUGUUAUCUAAGUAUCACGAGUAACCAAGUUAAUUGCAUCAGGAAUGUUUUACAUGUGCACUUGGGCUCACUACCUGUACCGCCACUUUGGCAUAUUAAAUGCAUUGACAUAUAUACAUGGUACAAACACGAACCAAAUGACAACAUCAUGGAGAUAGCACAUACAGUCGAAUAGUUUGAAUACUGAAAGCAUAGCUUUUCGGUUUAGCAUGUUAGGAUUCUGAGAAUUAAUGCCCUCUAGUGAUUUUGCUGCCUGUAGUGGUGGAGCCAAAGUGUCAGCAACUCACAAUUUAUUAGCAAGUUAAAGCAGCAAGUUGUCAUUCUCUGCUUUUUAUGUUACAUGCAAAUUCUUAAACUGAAACAUUCAUGGACAUAAACAAGAGCAAUAGAAAGAGGAAUGUACUUGACAAGGCAGUAAGCCGGAGAUACAGGUUCUCAUUGCCGACGGCGCCACCCUUCUCCACGUCAAUCAGCUCCCUGGUCCACAGCAGGCACCUUGUUGCAUCCCCAUCAAUGUUGCUGGUGCUUAGAUUAGCAUAAGCAUACGCUACACAUGAGCAAUUUUUGCUGCACUCCACUGCACAGUCAUCAUAGCUUUUAUUCCACAGGCGUAUGAAUUUGUCUGGCACCUUCAUUGCUGGCAAGGUCAAGAAACGGUCCUCUCCACCACAUUGCAGUUCCUCCUUUCGCCGGCAACCAUGAAAAAAACUGCCUCUAACCCACUCUGUUUUGUUACUAGGGACAAACUCAUCAAGGCACUUGCAUGUGGGAGUUGCCUCUGUGUUGUCGCAGUAGCCGUAUGCACCACAAUAUCCAUCGAGAUUGCACUCGUAAGCUGACAACUGUUGAAGGGCGGUCCAAUCUGUCAAGCUGGUAUUCCAUCUCAACAGCAUCGUCUUUCCGGAGUAGUCAACCUUGUAAAAUAUCCUGGAGGAGCCAUCUGAUAGUCCAAAUGUUGAAUAGGUCUCAUCGUCCGUGCCCUUGUUAAUUGUCAAAUACAUGAGCGAACUAACGGUCUGCAGUUCCAUGUUGGAGUAUACAUAGUUGUUCCACACUGGAGCAUGCCAGUAUGGCACUGACCCAUCCCAGACGAAGUACUGUAGGGGAGUGGCAAGGUCUUUCCCAGCAGAGAACCUGCCUUUUGACGGAUCAUCAGGGCCCUUCCAAGAGAUGAUCCGCCAUGGUGGGUGUGUCUUGUGGGUGUCCCGCAUAGGCAUACCAGCAAGGACGACGUCGCUUGGGUUUUCGAAGCUCUGCCAUAACAUGGCACCGUCUGAUGAUAGGACUACAAGAUUGCCACUGUUGAGAAGUUUGGCUGAAGAGUUGCUGCCAGUAAUUGUGUUUGCCAUCCAAAGUAUGUGGCGGCCAUUGGUUUGAGACAACACAAGGCUCGAGCUGUUGGUCAUAGAAAGCACCGUGGAUGAAGCAUCGGUGAUCGGACUAUCGCGGUUGGCAACCCAGACAUGUCGUUGAACCAUAUGCCAACAUACAUAUUUUUAGUUGACUCUGAGGGGGUAAAGAAGCCUAAGGCGAACGAACCUUGGUCCGAGGUGAGAGUUUUGCCAGGAGUGAGUCUCAUGCCAGUGACAAGCACACUAACAGAUGCGCACAGAAGCGCUGAACUGAAGGGCCAAGGAAUCAGGAGCAUGAUGACGACCAAGUGGAGAGAAGGCGGAUGCAUGCUUACCCCCUUCUUUGAGUUACAAGUGAUGAGGAUUCAGGAGCAGAGAAGGGGAUAGGAUUGGGUGGAGAAGAGAGAGGAAAAUUUAGAGUGAACUACGAAAACUAACCCUGCAGUUGAAAUAGGUGAACUGCUAUUACAUUUCCUUCUUUGUCAAUAGUUGACAUAGACGGUGAAGUGUGAACGGAGGGCAGUAUUUCAAAUUCUCAAUACCAUGUGGUUCGACUGGUGGAAUGGAUUCUAAUACAUCACUAUCUAUCAGCCUAUCAACUUAAUGCCAGGAAGGUGACUAGGUGAUGGUAAGACAAAGAAAGCAGAGAGUACACCAUACUUUCUCUGUCCCAUUCAGAGUAGCUGCAGUACCAUUCAGAAUCAGGGACCCACUCAUUACUUCCAUGGACUACGAGUUGAAGGACUAGUCAAGACUAGUCUAUACUAGUCUAUGAGUCGCAACUCCAGGGCCGACUACACUUCAGUGUCGACUAGUCUAUGAAUCGCAACUUUAGUGUUGACUUGUCACGAUUAGUCACGACUAGUCUAUGAGUCUCAACAUUGGAAUAACUAGUCGACUCGUCAACCUUGAUUACUUCACCCAAGUGCAGUGCACUAUCACUAGGGGCCUCUGCAUUAUACCUUAUAAAGCAGUUGCAACUGACCCUACUGCAUAAAUGAAGUAAAUCAAAUGCAGUUAACCAAAAAAGGCAUUUGAUUAACGAUGUUUGGUUCAACAGUAACCACAGAAAGAAACACAGAACAUAAGAUCCUCCAAGGCAAACCUCAAGCAGAAGGUAGUGGCAAAUCAUAACAUUCCUUGGCCAUGUGAACGCACUGUAACCAAUGUAGAACCUCCACAUUAGGGUCCUCCUCUAGAACCACGUCUCGAGCAGCAAUUUGAAUUGCACCACGGUACAUGACAAUCCUCCCACGAACCCUCAACAGGGUGCCCAGGCGUACGACCUCCGACAUUUUCGAUACCAUCUCUCCAGUUGGAUCAGAAUCGGAUGAACUGUUUGCAUUCAGGUACUGGUGGUUCAGCCACAGGACACAUGGUACACAGCCAGUGCCAUCAUCAAUCAGGAAGCGCAGAAACUUCUCCCUGCGGUCACGUGAAACAACGACCCCAACAACCUCGGCACG